ACUUGGUAUGAAAAGAAAUGUUUUUGAUAUUUCAGAAAUUACUGACAUUCUAAGAUGUGGCUGUCGAAUUCACCUGGGAGAAAUGGGGGCUGUUGAAACCAGCUCAGAAGGACUUAUUCAGGAAUGUGAUGCUGGAAAACUAUGAGAAUUUUAUCUCCCUUGGGUCAUGUCAGUUUUCAAGCCAGAUGUCAUCUCCCAGUUGGAAAAAAGAGCAGUAUCAAGGUGGCCAGCUGAAGAAGUUCCAAGAGCCUUUAUCUUGAUUUUCCUCAGAAAUGUAACAUAAUUGGACAGAAGUACAGUCAGGAGUCAAUCCCUGAUGCCCAAAAGUGAAUUCUUGAAGUAAAUGUAAAACAAUAUUCAGAUGUAAUUGAGAAUGACAAAAUCGCUGGAGGUGAAAACCUUUAUGAAUAUAAUAAAUGCGAGAAGAUCUUCACUUGCUAUUCAAACUAUAUUUUUCAGCAUGGAACAGAUACUCAAAGAAAACACUUUAAAGAUAAAAUAUCCAGGAUAAUCAUUAGCAGUAAACAAAAUCCAAUUACUCACCAUUCAGAUGAUUCUGAGGAGAAUCUAUUUAAAUGUAAUUUAGCAACCUUCAACAAAAUUCAAAGUCUAUCUCAACAUCAAAAGAUUGAUAGUAGAGAGAAGUUGUUUGAAUGUAAAAAAUAUAGGAAAGCCUUCAACAGAAAGGGGACUGUCUAUAAAUAUCAGAUGAU
This is a long non-coding RNA of Sarcophilus harrisii (Tasmanian devil), 713 nucleotides long. RefSeq lists it as uncharacterized. Lineage: Eukaryota; Metazoa; Chordata; Mammalia; Dasyuromorphia; Dasyuridae. The transcript has 3 exons. The record is from RefSeq and is a predicted model, not a curated record.